This is an RNA transcript of Oryza sativa Japonica Group (Japanese rice), 1303 nucleotides long. RefSeq lists it as uncharacterized. NCBI's taxonomy places the organism in Eukaryota, Viridiplantae, Streptophyta, Magnoliopsida, Poales, Poaceae. The record is from RefSeq and is a predicted model, not a curated record.
CUUGGAUCUUUGAUUUUUUAUUUCUUUUUUGGCUAAAAUUCGGUGAGAUUAAUAGUUUCGUCGCGGAAGGCCGAAACCCUAGCAAGCCACCCCAAAUUCGAUUCGAUUCGAUAAGAUUAAGAAGGCUAGCCCGAUCCAAGAAGAGAAGGAAGAAGCGAUGUCGUCGUCUCGGAACCCUAAUCCUCCUCCCGGAUCCUCCUCCUCGGGGACCAAUUACUUCCCUCUCCCCUUCCAUCUGCAGCAGCAACCGCCGCAGCCGCCGCCGAUGGCGAUGGCGAGCACCUACCAGUACCAGCAGUACCAGCAGCUGCAGCAGGCGCAGCAGCUCUUCCAACGCGACGCGCAGACCAUCACCCCCGAGGCGCUCGAGAGCGUCAAGGCCGCCCUCGCCACCAGCGACGUCCUCGACCCCGCCAAUGCCAGAGCCACCGCAACCUCCUCCUCCGACCCUGCCGCCAAGAAGAAAGCCAUCCCCCGCCGCGCCGCCGGCCAAUCCUGGGAGGAUCCCACCCUCACCGACUGGCCCGACAAUGACUAUCGCUUAUUUUGUGGAGAUCUGGGCAAUGAAGUCAAUGACGACGUCCUCUCAAAAGCUUUUUCACGGUUCCCCUCCUUCAACAUGGCAAGGGUUGUUCGAGAUAAGAGAACUGGCAAAACAAAAGGAUAUGGAUUUGUGAGCUUUUCAAACCCUACUGACCUUGCUGGAGCAAUUAAAGAAAUGAAUGGUUUGAAGUACCCAACUUGUUCAAUUACUGCCAUUGUUCAGCUUCGUUUUUGUACUGCUACCUUAUUACUUUUGACACUAUUGCAGGGAAGUAUGUUGGGAACCGCCCUAUUAAAUUGCGUAAAAGCAAUUGGAAAGAGAGGACCGAUGUUGAUGCUCUAGAAAGACAGAAGAAUCACAUCCAGAAGAAACCUAAAAUGCCCAAGAAAAGUAUCCUUCACAAGUAAAGCUAUAUUAGCCCUACUAAGCGCCAUCCAUGUAAACAUACUUUGUUGGGUGAUGGGGCUCAAGAAAACUACUCUUACUGCAAAGGUUGUGGACCAGGGAGGGUGUACAUUUGACUGCAGCUGUCUGUUAGCAGAGUGGUGCGUCGCUUCUAAGCAAUUUUUCUUCUUACGACAAGCUGAUGUUUACAUCUGCAGGAAGUUUGUUAAAGCUGAAGCUAGUUUUGCUGAUGUUUACUGAGAAUGACUCCCUAGAAUGGAUGGUUUGCUUAAGGUGGUAAUGAUGUGUAUUUAGAUAUGGCAUUUGCAUUUAAGGAUGGCAUUGCAAUGUAAUAAAGAUGUUGUUGGUAUUGUA